Molecule: ribosomal RNA, 253 nt
Filed under: uncultured bacterium
Lineage: Bacteria
Description: partial 16S ribosomal RNA
Rfam family: Bacterial small subunit ribosomal RNA
Source: RNAcentral
UACGUAGGGUGCGAGCGUUAAUCGGAAUUACUGGGCGUAAAGCGUGCGCAGGCGGUUUUGUAAGCCGGAUGUGAAAUCCCCGGGCUUAACCUGGGAAUGGCAUUCGGGACUGCAAGGCUGGAGUGCGGCAGAGGAGACUGGAAUUCCUGGUGUAGCAGUGAAAUGCGUAGAUAUCAGGAGGAACACCGAUGGCGAAGGCAGGUCCCUGGGCAUUAACUGACGCUGAGGAGCGAAAGUGUGGGGAGCGAACAGG